RNAcentral lists this small RNA (132 nucleotides) under Klebsiella quasipneumoniae subsp. similipneumoniae. Its description in RNAcentral is "RtT sRNA". It matches the Rfam family "RtT RNA". Rfam says of the family: This family represents a bacterial cis-regulatory element known as RtT RNA. The exact function of RtT is unknown although it is thought that it may be involved in changing the cellular response in relation to amino acid starvation. The record is from RNAcentral. RNAcentral also lists the same sequence under 1 other name. Lineage: Bacteria; Pseudomonadati; Pseudomonadota; Gammaproteobacteria; Enterobacterales; Enterobacteriaceae.
UAUUCUGCCCCACGGGGAAGGAUGAGAAGCUUCGACUAAGGUUCGACUCGAGCGUAGCGAGAGAACGUUGCCGAAGGCAACGGCCCGAAGGGCGAGGCGCUUUAGCGCCGAGUUAUCCUUCCCCCACCGCUG